This 1100-nucleotide ribosomal RNA is filed under the name Bacillus amyloliquefaciens. Its description in RNAcentral is "bacterial SSU rRNA". It matches the Rfam family "Bacterial small subunit ribosomal RNA", at positions 54 to 1125 of the family's 1533-position model. Lineage: Bacteria; Bacillati; Bacillota; Bacilli; Caryophanales; Bacillaceae. The record is from RNAcentral.
UAUGAAACGUCGAGCGGACAGAUGUGAGAGCUUGCUCCCUGAUGUUAGCGGCGGACGGGUGAGUAACACGUGGGUAACCUGCCUGUAAGACUGGGAUAACUCCGGGAAACCGGGGCUAAUACCGGAUGCUUGUUUGAACCGCAGGGUUCAGACAUAAAAGGUGGCUUCGGCUACCACUUACAGAUGGACCCGCGGCGCAUUAGCUAGUUGGUGAGGUAACGGCUCACCAAGGCGACGAUGCGUAGCCAACCUGAGAGGGUGAUCGGCCACACUGGGACUGAGACACGGCCCAGACUCCUACGGGAGGCAGCAGUAGGGAAUCUUCCGCAAUGGACGAAAGUCUGACGGAGCAACGCCGCGUGAGUGAUGAAGGUUUUCGGAUCGUAAAGCUCUGUUGUUAGGGAAGAACAAGUGCCGUUCAAAUAGGGCGGCACCUUGACGGUACCUAACCAGAAAGCCACGGCUAACUACGUGCCAGCAGCCGCGGUAAUACGUAGGUGGCAAGCGUUGUCCGGAAUUAUUGGGCGUAAAGGGCUCGCAGGCGGUUUCUUAAGUCUGAUGUGAAAGCCCCCGGCUCAACCGGGGAGGGUCAUUGGAAACUGGGGAACUUGAGUGCAGAAGAGGAGAGUGGAAUUCCACGUGUAGCGGUGAAAUGCGUAGAGAUGUGGAGGAACACCAGUGGCGAAGGCGACUCUCUGGUCUGUAACUGACGCUGAGGAGCGAAAGCGUGGGGAGCGAACAGGAUUAGAUACCCUGGUAGUCCACGCCGUAAACGAUGAGUGCUAAGUGUUAGGGGGUUUCCGCCCCUUAGUGCUGCAGCUAACGCAUUAAGCACUCCGCCUGGGGAGUACGGUCGCAAGACUGAAACUCAAAGGAAUUGACAGGGGCCCGCACAAGCGGUGGAGCAUGUGGUUUAAUUCGAAGCAACGCGGAGAACCUUACCAGGUCUUGACAUCCUCUGACAAUCCUAGAGAUAGGACCUCCCCUUCGCGGGCAAAAUGACAAGUGGUUCCAGGAUUGGCGUCCUCCUCCUGUCCCUGAAGAGUUGUGGUGUAAUUCCCGCUAAGGAGGCCCACCCUUUGUGUGUUGUUUCUCGCGAU